AAGCAAAUGACCAAGAAACAACUUUUAUAUUAAUCAGGAUUCGUUUUUAAGUUGAAGUGACCAAAAUACAACUCAAACUAACUCAAGCAAAAAAGAAAUAGGUACUGGGGAGAGGGGACAGUAGGGGAACAGGCUCCCACAUACUGAGAUCUGGGAACACAAAGGGAAGUUAUCAGGUCUCUCUCCCUCUCAGCUCUGCUUCUUUCAGUGUGGUGGCCUCAUUCUUUCUAACUGAAGAACGAUCUUUACUGCAGAAAAUUCUAAGCAUUAUUGUGGCAGAUCCAGUAAGUCCCAGAGAAGGAUUCUGAUUGGUCCUGCUUCAGUCACAUGCUUGCAUCUUAGUCCAAUCACUGUGGCCUGGAGGAUGGGACACCAUGAUUUGCAAGACUCUGGUCACAUGCCCACACCUGUGGCUUCUGAAGCAGAGCACCAGCAGUGACAGUCCCACCAGAACCGCAUGGAAUAGAAAACUGUGCAUUUCCCUAAGGAAAGGGAAUGCCAGAGAAGGGCAGAAGGGAAAUCAGGAAGACAAAACGGUAAAUUACCUACCACAAAUCCAAUUCAUUGGUAUUUUUCCACUUACACUUAACCAAGCAACGAUUUCUCCUGGUCCCAUAAUGGAAAAGAGGGUUUAUCUAGAUUCAUAUAUACAAGACUGAAGAGUGAAGAGAGACCCAGAGAAUGUUCUAAAAUCUGCCAGUUAGCAUAAUCACACAGAGAAAUCUCUGCUUCCAGAGGAGGAGCCAAGUUCAAGUCAGAGGUGAGGAAUGCCAACAGGAAAGCUCACUUUCUCCGGGGAUAUUCAGGCCAACACUAGGAAACCACAGCCAAGUCAGGCAGGGCUUGGGGCGGAACUGCUGACACCUCCACCCUAGCCAAUCCAAGGUGCACGCCUGCCUCAUGCAGCCCAGCGUGACUCCCGCCAUUGGCACACUGUGCCCAUCACAGGCUGGAGCUCCUUUCCUCCACCGUCUUCCCAACUCCUGCCAACCAGAACUUAACUACUCCUUUGGAUUCUGCUUUUCACUUGUUCUUCAUCAGACUAUGGAAGCUUAGACUUCAUAAUUUGGCUGAGACUUCAAAAAUAGUUUUAAAGAAAGCUAUUCCCACCCUGCUAAAUGUCUUCAUGUUGGAGUGGACCUUUCCUCUAUCUGUCAACAGAAUGGAUAAAUUGUGGAAGAGUAAUAUCAGAAUACUACACAUCAGUAAAAAACAACAAACUUCUGCUACAAACAAUCAACAUCGAUGAAUCUUUCAGGCAAAAGGUUAUAGAAACAGAUGAUCAGUGGCCCACGGAUUCCAGGUGAGGAUCUGGGACCCAGACAUCCAGAUAUUGAAAACACAGGGAUGGAGUCUGUAUGGAAAAAAUUAAAAUAUAGCAAAAUGUGAAAUACGGAAGAGAAAUCUUUCAAUUUCCCAAUGGAAGUGAGAAAAGAGCAAAGAAAAGUAUUGGUCUUCCAAAACAAAUAGAGGACGGAGCUGCUGCUGUUGCAUGGUGUCUAGAAACUCAGACAACUUCAUCAUUCCAUAUUUGCAUCCAAGAGAGAGAAAGAAAAACUACAAUCAUUUUCCAUUUACCCAUCAACCCAUCAACCUCCAAAUAAAGGCUAUUAAAAAACAAUCAAAGUGUGAAGAGGGCAGAAAAUGUGAUGAAGAGAUUCUUUGGAGAAAGUAGCUGCCACUGUUACCUUGGGAUCUGCCUAUAGUCCUCACAGAGCUUGCCCUUGCAGGAUAGAACAUAGGAGUCUGGGAGUCUGCAAGAAGAGACAGGGUCUCACUAUGUUGCCCCAGUUGGCCUUGAACUGCUGGACUCAAGGGAUCCUCCUGCCUCAGCAUCCUGAGUAGCUGGGUCUACAGGCAUGAACCACCAGGCCCAGAACCCUGUCUUUUGAAAGCCAUAUGCGAUCUGUCUGCCCUGAAGUGACUACUUCAUCUCCAACCAGCCCUUGGCUGGCAAAGUCAGGAAGACUCCAGUCUUUCCUGAAGACCAGGGGAGAGUUUAUAACUCUAGCAUCAAAGUCAGCAGCUGUUCAUCUAGAAGACAACUUCCCAAAAGUCAAUGUCUUUGCCUGAAGCUUUUCUUCCCAGAUCUCCUAUGGUGAAACAACCAAAGGGAAGAAGAAUGUGGGCAGCCCUCAGUAAGACAGGAGAUGAGCAUCAACAUUGACCCAUUCUUUCUUCCAGUCCUCGAUGCUUACCUUGUACAUUCUUCUUUGUCUUCCGACUCAGUGCCUUUAGGGUAUGGACGUUGCCUGGUCCCACACAAGCCAAGCAUCAAAUGGAUGGCUCAACAAGGAGGCCAAGACCAGCUAAUGUUUAGUGAGCACCCAAAGGGGCCACACUGGAGAGAACAGCACAGCUCCGUCUGAGAAACAGCUGUUCCUUCCUGCCUGAGAGGCAGAGUGAUAGAAGAUAUCACAGAAUGUUGCUGCUUUGUCUUCCACCCUGAACCCUCCACGACCUCCCUGUAGCUUCCUGAUUUUAAGUAGACAUCAAAUGAUUCUUAAUCCUUUCUGGGUCUUGGAACGAUUUGAAAAUUGUCAACAGUACUGGGAUUCCCAGAAUAAUGCACAUAUGUACAUACUCAGAUAUUCCCCAAGCCCUGGAUAUAAUUUUAAGGGAGUUCACAGACCACACUCCCCCACCCAUCUGUGGACCCAGAUUCUGUGGGUUCGAGAUUCAGAAGCCCUGUUUCUAGGCAGGCCCUCUGUUGCUAACGCCCCUCGAGAACAUCACCCUAGAUGAUUAUCCCUUCUUCCUCCACUCCUUCCCACCUUCUCCAACUGCUGGGUUUCAGCACAAAGAUUGCUUGCCAGUUAAACUGGCACCAUGGACCGCACAGUAGUUGUUUCUUGGGUCUAGAGGAAACAGCCAGAUUCCUUUAAGUAAAUCAUGUCUUAGUUAUUGAUUGUCUCCACUUGAAGUUUUUGACAAUCUCUGAUUAAAUCAUAAACCACUGCAUCCUCCAUCUCCUGCUUCAGUCUCUCAAACCAAAUGUCAGUUUCUU
This 3007-nucleotide long non-coding RNA is filed under the name Homo sapiens (human). Its description in RNAcentral is "HSALNT0377578". Lineage: Eukaryota; Metazoa; Chordata; Mammalia; Primates; Hominidae. The record is from RNAcentral.